Molecule: ribosomal RNA, 440 nt
Filed under: uncultured bacterium
Lineage: Bacteria
Description: partial 16S ribosomal RNA
Rfam family: Bacterial small subunit ribosomal RNA
Source: RNAcentral
CCUACGGGAGACAGCAGUGGGGGAUAUUGCACAAUGGGGGAAACCCUGAUGCAGCGACGCCGCGUGAGUGAAGAAGGAUUUCGGUAUGUAAAGCUCUAUCAGCAGGGAAGAAAAUGACAGUACCUGAACAAUAAGCCCCGGCUAACUACGUUCCAGCAGCCGCGGGAAUACGUAGGGGGCCAGCGUUAUCCGGAUUUACUGGGGGUAAAGGGGGCGUAGACGGUUUUGUAAGUCUGGAGUGAAAGCCCGGGGGCCAACCCCGGGUCUGCUUUUGAAACUGUGGAACUGGAGUACAGAAGAGGCAGGCGGAAUUCCUGGUGUAGCGGUGAAAUGCGUAGAUAUCAGGAGGAACACCGGCGGCGAAGGCGGCCUGCUGGACUGAAACUGACGUUGAGGCUCGAAAGCGUGGGGAGCAAACAGGAUUAGAUACCCCGGUAGUC